AGCGGUCUGCAGCACGCGCUGGGUUCUAUAUUUCCUUGUACCAAUGCUCAUUGAGCUCGGACUAGAAACAUUGCAUGGCAGGUGUGAGCGUCUCGCGUCAGAUGAACCCGAAGCCAUGACUGAUCUGGCCCACCUGUACCCUUCGGUUCAGGAAUGCGACCCGGCGGUGUUUGCAGACACCCU
This 183-nucleotide non-coding RNA is filed under the name Burkholderiaceae bacterium. RNAcentral describes it as "6S RNA". It matches the Rfam family "6S / SsrS RNA". From Rfam's summary of the family: E. coli 6S RNA was the first non coding RNA to be sequenced, but its function was unknown until recently. It consists of 184 nucleotides that fold into an extended hairpin structure with a large single-stranded internal bulge. The record is from RNAcentral. Lineage: Bacteria; Pseudomonadati; Pseudomonadota; Betaproteobacteria; Burkholderiales; Burkholderiaceae.